Long non-coding RNA from Populus nigra (black poplar), 800 nucleotides. RefSeq lists it as uncharacterized. The record is from RefSeq and is a predicted model, not a curated record. NCBI's taxonomy places the organism in Eukaryota, Viridiplantae, Streptophyta, Magnoliopsida, Malpighiales, Salicaceae. The transcript is spliced from 2 exons.
AGUAAGGUAGCCUUGUAACUAUGAUUGGACACGAGGUGGACUCGGCAUAAGGCGCAUGAUGGAAGAUUGUACAGCGCAGUUCGCGGGAAAAAGAAGGCUUAGCUCCAGGGUACCUGGGAGACCAAAUAGGGGUGGAGAAGAGAAAUUAGAAGCUUGGCAUGGUGUGUGGCAGAGGAAGCUUGUCUUUUCGUUUUAGCAAGUGAAGAAAAUGGGAAGCGAGCCAAAAAAACAAGGCCAACGGCGAAGGAUUCAAGUCAAGAGUAAAUCGUACUUGCAUGGUGCGGACACAAAGCAUGUCAUAGCUGGCAUGGGCAUCAUCACUCUUGUCUUUGGUGUCCCUUGGUACCUCAUAAACAGAGGUUGGUUUUCUUUUCUUUUGACUCUCUACCAUAUAUCUAUGUGGGUUGCUUUAAUAUCAGUUUUGGAUUGGUGGUUCAAUGAUGAAAAGGAAAGGAGAAGUGAGAGGAAGUGAAAGUUAGAAUCUUUUUGCAGUUUUCUUUACUGGGUCGUUAGCAUGGCGAUGCUGCUUUUUGUUAAUUUUUGUUUGCAAAAUGGAAAGUAUAUUUUCAAAAUUUUAGAUUUCUUUUUCUUGUACUGAUUGGGAAGAUGAUCGACGGUUGAGUUACAGAGAAGUAUUGCUUUGUGUUAAAGAGUUAAUUACUCAAAGUGCUGCUGCUGUUGGGUUUGAUUUGUUUGGUUCCUAAAGAAUGUUGCCGAGCAGGAAAGUUUUUCGACUUUCCUGCUUCUUUCUCUUUGUUUUCCUUGCUUGUUGAUGAUAUUUUAUCAGGGUUGAUUUUUUA